This 521-nucleotide ribosomal RNA is filed under the name uncultured soil bacterium. Its description in RNAcentral is "bacterial SSU rRNA". It matches the Rfam family "Bacterial small subunit ribosomal RNA", at positions 26 to 517 of the family's 1533-position model. The record is from RNAcentral.
AGAGUGAACGCUGGCGGCAGGCCUAACACAUGCAAGUCGAACGGCAGCACAAGGGAGCUUGCUCCCUGGGUGGCGAGUGGCGGACGGGUGAGGAAUACGUCGGAAUCUGCCUAUUUGUGGGGGAUAACGUAGGGAAACUUACGCUAAUACCGCAUACGACCCCAUGCCGAGAGGCGCGGGGUGAAAGCGGAGGACCUUCGGGCUUCGCGCAGAUAGAUGAGCCGACGUCGGAUUAGCUAGUUGGCGGGUAACGCCCACCAAGGCGACGAUCCGUAGCUGGUCUGAGAGGAUGAUCAGCCACACUGGAACUGAGACACGGUCCAGACUCCUACGGGAGCAGCAGUGGGAAUAGUGGACAAGUGGGCGCAAGCCUGAUCCAGCCAUGCCGCGUGUGUGAAGAAGGCCGUUCGGGUUGUGAAGUCUAACGUUUUGUACCGGUAAAGUAAAAGUCGUUACGGGUUAACUACCCCGGGUCUAGGACCGGUAACCGGAAGUAAUAAGGACCACCGGACUAACCGUCG